Hyalella azteca is the source of this 2374-nucleotide long non-coding RNA. RefSeq lists it as uncharacterized. The record is from RefSeq and is a predicted model, not a curated record. The transcript is spliced from 2 exons. Lineage: Eukaryota; Metazoa; Arthropoda; Malacostraca; Amphipoda; Hyalellidae.
GCAGGUUAUUGGAUUCCCUCGGGGAUUUGCAGGCUGCAAGUGGAUUAAAGAAAUUGAACGAACACCUGGCGACACGAAGCUACAUCAGGGGCUACAUGCCUACGGAUGGAGAUGCAGAAGUUUACAAACGUCUCUCGGGAUCACCAUCAGGUUGCCACCCGCACGUUCUCAGAUGGUACCGGCACAUCACAGCUAUCGGCAGGGAACUUGGUCUUGACAUUUUGUGAACGGGAAACUACCUAUGUUGCAGUCACGUGGACUACUUCGAGAACUUAGUUAGAGACCCACACUUAAAAAUCCACCACGUUUAAUAUAACGCAUUAAACAAAUCUAAAUAGAAUUCCACAUAAACAAAGAAACUUCGCCAUACAAGGGUGCUUCAAAAAGUUCGUGUAGAAACGAAAGUUUGAAAAACGAUUGUUGAAAAAAAACCUGGCCUCGAUUUCGGCAGAUGACAUGUUGCAAGAACGGUUGUUGCUUUUAAAGCAGCACCCCACGUUUGUAACAUUAAUUUAAGGGUUCAUGUGAAAACACGUUAUAAAACUUUGAUGCAGCAGCGUUCUUGUGCAUUGACGUCACACUCUUUUUUUAUAAUAUUCUGUUUUGUCCACUUUCCAUGAACUUUUCGAAGCCCCCUCGCAUUGCCUGAAUAAAAUAAAAAAAAACAUACCAAUGUCCCAUUGGUUAACAUAUAAUCUAGUCGAUCAUAUCGUGAAUGAUUGCAAAUCCCGAACUUGAUUCUGAUGACUUGACAGUGCAUGAGAGCACGCCACACAAGAAGGUUGCGUCAUUAAAUUACAUAUCAACACCUAGUGAUUGCAUGUAAAUAAACUCUAGAUGGAUGAACAUAUGGACAAAAAUGGGCACAAGAUCGAAUUAAAACUAGAGUACUAUUUUUUGGGGGGGAGUCAAGGCACAGUCAUUGGUUAGUGCAUAUGACGAUCAAAAGUUGGCACAAACUACAUGAACAAUAAGAAAUUAAGAGGUUAAAGCAACAAUGUGGUGAGUCAAAUAUACCUCCUGAAGUCCUGACACCUAAAACUUUAUUUCAAAGAUUCUGUAUUAUUGUGGUGUUAAGCUGUUCUAUCAGUCAUAGACAGGACAGUUAGAGGAUUAACAAGUUUGUUAGAAGAUUAUAGAAUUGUGAGUGACUUGUUCACCAGUAGCUCAAGAUUGGCCAUCGUUUGGAUCAUAGUUCCAGUCGUGAGCAGCCGGCCAUUUGUCGUGUUCUGCAUUGCAAAAAUAAAUCCUGAUCAAUACUCAGUAAUAUGGCAUAUUUGUAGAUCCUGAUAUUUGAUAUAAUAUCACGCAAUGCAAGAAAAAGCACCUCAAAUAAUAACAAGGCUCAAGACUAAACGUCAGGCCAAGAUGGCACACAAUGAAAUGAAAUAUUACGUUCACCAGCCAUUGCAGUAAAGGGGAUGUGCUAUUUAUCUCGACAAUCACCAAAAAAUAAUCACGAACAAAUAAGGUUACAAACAUGAGUAGCACAGUAUGUGGGAGAAUACUUCAAAAAUGUGUUGAUUCUACAUCAAUCUUAACUGAUUCUCACUUCUUCAAUUCAAGUAUUUGAUUGCAACUCGCAAAUACCUUCUGUGAAUAAAUUCAGUACAAAGAAUUCUACUCCACCUGGUACGGAGUACAGUGGAGGAGCAGAGAGACUCAUUCCGCCGUCUACUCUGAGCGUGGCUCCAGUAAUGAAUGACGCGCCAGGCGACAGUAAGAAGCUGACAGCGCUAGACACCUGCAAUACGAGAGAUGUUAAUGCCCCUUGUGAGUUUAAUAUUUAAUUUUAACGACUGAUACAAAAUAAGAUUAAGAAAUCAAAGAAAGUUUGUAAACACUUGUAUACAGAGUUAUAACAAGAACGAACGUUUCUUUUUGGCAUCAGCUUUGAUAAAGGAGAAAUUGCAGAGUAGUUUAGACAUGAACUGGUUUUGAAACAUAACAGAGAAUAAAAUUUAUGGGAGCGGCCAUACUGAUGGCCGCUUGGAAUUUAAUGAUGGAAUUUGAUGAAUACAACGCUUAACCUUUGUCCUAGAAACGUGUUUGAUCACUAAGCAGCAAUGUAUAAGGCAACAUUCAAAUGUAUCCUAUCUAGCGUUUUCCGACCAAUUUUUGGAGUAGAAUUUAUUGGCAUAUGUUGGUCAAUUUAUGCAACAUAUGACGCACCUCCCUUGGGUGACCGAGCCUCUUAGCAGGUAUUCCAGGCCUGACCAGCUCAAAAAUGUUGUCGUCACCAUAGUUGCGGCUUGCUGUGGGAGAAUAAAUGCAGCUUCCAGGAGCCACUGCAUUCACACGUACACCACUUUCUGCCCACUCUAUUGACAGACUCUGUAAGAUUGAAAGGUGUCAAUGAAAAGCUUUGAAAUUA